GGCGAUCAGAUACCGCCCUAGUUCUGACCGUAAACGAUGCCAACUAGCGAUCCGCCGGCGGAUAUUUCGCCCUGGUGGGGAGCUUCCCGGAAACGAAAGUCUUCCGGUUCCGGGGGAAGUAUGGUUGCAAAGCUGAAACUUAAAGGAAUUGACGGAGGGGCACCACCAGGAGUGGAGCCUGCGGCUUAAUUUGACUCAACACGGGGAAACUCACCCGGCCCGGACACCGUAAGGAUUGACAGAUUGAUAGCUUUUUCAUGAUUCGGUGGAUGGUGGUGCAUGGGCGUUCUUAGUUCGUGGAGCGAUUUGUCUGGUUUAUUCCGAUAACGAGCGAGACUCUAGCCUACUAAAUAGUUCGCACAUUGUCAUUGUGUGCGCUCACUUCUUAGAGGGAUUUUCGGUGUUCAGCCGCACGAGAUUGAGCAAUAACAGGUCUGUGAUGCCCUUAGAUGUCCGGGGCUGCACGCGCGCUACACUGGCGAAAUCAGCGUGCUUGUCCUCUCUCGAAAGAGAUUGGUAAACCAUUGAAAAUUUGCCGUGAUUGGGAUCGGAAAUUGCAAUUAUUUUCCGUGAACGAGGAAUUCCAAGUAAGUGCGAGUCAUCAACUCGCGUUGAUUACGUCCCUGCCCUUUGUA
This 635-nucleotide ribosomal RNA is filed under the name Basiria cf. affinis TSH-2005. RNAcentral describes it as "SSU rRNA". It matches the Rfam family "Eukaryotic small subunit ribosomal RNA", at positions 1003 to 1664 of the family's 1831-position model. The record is from RNAcentral. Lineage: Eukaryota; Metazoa; Nematoda; Chromadorea; Rhabditida; Tylenchidae.